UACAGAGGUCUCAACCGUUGUUCGGAUUCAUUGGGCGUAAAGGGUGCGUAGGCGGUCGCGUAAGUCAGAUGUGAAAUCUCAGGGCUCAACCCUGAAACUGCAUUCGAUACUGCGUGGCUAGGGUACUGGAGAGGAGACUGGAAUUUACGGUGUAGCAGUGAAAUGCGUAGAUAUCGUAAGGAAGACCAGUGGCGAAGGCGAGUCUCUGGACAGUUACCGACGCUGAGGCACGAAGGUCAGGGGAGCAAACGGG
This 253-nucleotide ribosomal RNA is filed under the name uncultured bacterium. Its description in RNAcentral is "partial 16S ribosomal RNA". It matches the Rfam family "Bacterial small subunit ribosomal RNA", at positions 524 to 776 of the family's 1533-position model. The record is from RNAcentral.